RNAcentral lists this long non-coding RNA (315 nucleotides) under Androctonus crassicauda. The record is from RNAcentral. Lineage: Eukaryota; Metazoa; Arthropoda; Arachnida; Scorpiones; Buthidae.
AUGGAAAGUGCUACAAUAAAAACAAUAAACAUAUCAAAGAAUAUAAAAAAAUUAGAAUAUGAAAUAAAAGUCUAUAUUACAUGCCAAUUAGAACCCUUCAAAGUUGAAGAAUUAUAUUUCACAUCAGUCAGAUUUUAUUGCUUUUGUUUACAUCUCUCGUCCACUCUUGCACUCAUGCACCACUUCCAAAUGACCUUGGAUCAUUCUGGGUAAUAAAAUCAUCUGUUCUGUUUACAAAUAGAAACAGAUCAGAUUAUAAAACUGGAGAUACAUUUGUUUUGAAUAGUCUAUAACCAAAACACAGAGGGGUAGUAU